This 443-nucleotide ribosomal RNA is filed under the name uncultured bacterium. Its description in RNAcentral is "partial 16S ribosomal RNA". It matches the Rfam family "Bacterial small subunit ribosomal RNA", at positions 338 to 795 of the family's 1533-position model. The record is from RNAcentral.
CCUACGGGUGACAGCAGUGGGGAAUAUUGGGCAAUGGAGGAAACUCUGACCCAGCAACGCCGCGUGAAUGAUGAAGGUCUUCGGAUUGUAAAGUUCUUUUCUAAGGGAAGAAGAAAGUGACGGUACCUUAGGAAUAAGCCUCGGUUAACUACGUGCCAGCAGCCGCGGUAAUACGUAGGAGGCAAGCGUUAUCCGGAUUUACUGGGUGUAAAGGGAGCGUAGACGGCAGAGCAAGUCUGAAGUGAAAGCCCGCGGCCCAACUGCGGGACUGCUUUGGAAACUGCCCGGCUAGAGUGCUGGAGAGGUAAGCGGAAUUCCUAGUGUAGCGGUGAAAUGCGUAGAUAUUAGGAGGAACACCAGUGGCGAAGGCGGCUUACUGGACUGUAACUGACGUUGAGGCUCGAAAGCGUGGGGAGCAAACAGGAUUAGAUACCCCAGUAGUC